UCUCCGUUGGUGAACCAGCGGAGGGAUCAUUACUGGAAUCGCAAGAUCCCACAACCCCUGUGAACCUACCGAAACGUUGCCUCGGCGGGCGCCCGGCCCCGCGCCGGGCGCUGAGCCCGCCGGCGGCCCCCUACUCUUGUCUCUGCAGCGUGGCAUCUUCGAGUCCCAGAAAACAAGUAAAAACUUUCAACAACGGAUCUCUUGGUUCUG
This 210-nucleotide unclassified non-coding RNA is filed under the name plant metagenome. RNAcentral describes it as "partial contains small subunit ribosomal RNA, internal transcribed spacer 1, and 5.8S ribosomal RNA". The record is from RNAcentral.